GCACGGCGCACGGGUGCGUAACACGUGGGUAAUCUGCCCUUCGAUGGGGAAUAACCUCGCGAAAGCGAGGCUAAUUCCGCAUAACAUUCCGGGGACCUCGGUUCCUGGAUUCAAAGGAGUGAUUCGUCGGAGGAGGAGCCCGCGCACGAUUAGCUAGUUGGUAGGGUAAUGGCCUACCAAGGCUUUGAUCGUUAGCUGGUCUGAGAGGAUGGCCGGCCACACUGGAACUGAGACACGGUCCAGACUCCUACGGGAGGCAGCAGUGGGGAAUCUUGCACAAUGGGCGAAAGCCUGAUGCAGCGACGCCGCGUGGGGGAUGAAGCAUUUCGGUGUGUAAACCCCUUUCGACCCGGACGAAUGCCUCGCAAGAGGACUGACGGUACGGGUAUAAGAAGCCCCGGCUAACUACGUGCCAGCAGCCGCGGUAAGACGUAGGGGGCCAGCGUUGUUCGGAAUUACUGGGUGUAAAGGGUUCGUAGGCGGUGCGGCAAGUUGGGAGUGAAAUCUCUGGGCUCAACCCAGAGGCUGCUUCCAA
RNAcentral lists this ribosomal RNA (535 nucleotides) under uncultured bacterium. Its description in RNAcentral is "bacterial SSU rRNA". It matches the Rfam family "Bacterial small subunit ribosomal RNA", at positions 93 to 630 of the family's 1533-position model. The record is from RNAcentral.